UACGCCUACGGGGCGCAGCAGUGAGGAAUAUUGGUCAAUGGGCGAGAGCCUGAACCAGCCAAGUCGCGUGAAGGAUGACGGCCCUACGGGUUGUAAACUUCUUUUGUCAGGGAGCAAUUGGGUCCACGCGUGGGCUUAGCGAGAGUACCUGAAGAAAAAGCAUCGGCUAACUCCGUGCCAGCAGCCGCGGUCAUACGGAGGAUGCGAGCGUUAUCCGGAUUUAUUGGGUUUAAAGGGUGCGUAGGCGGACUGUUAAGUCAGCGGUAAAAGCCCGGGGCUCAACCCCGGCGAGCCGUUGCAACUGG
RNAcentral lists this ribosomal RNA (305 nucleotides) under uncultured bacterium. RNAcentral describes it as "bacterial SSU rRNA". It matches the Rfam family "Bacterial small subunit ribosomal RNA", at positions 334 to 636 of the family's 1533-position model. The record is from RNAcentral.